Molecule: ribosomal RNA, 501 nt
Filed under: uncultured bacterium
Lineage: Bacteria
Description: bacterial SSU rRNA
Rfam family: Bacterial small subunit ribosomal RNA
Source: RNAcentral
CUACGUGCCAGCAGCCGCGGUAAUACGUAGGUGGCGAGCGUUAUCCGGAAUUAUUGGGCGUAAAGGGUGCGUAGGCGGCCUGUUAAGUAAGUGGUUAAAUUGUUGGGCUCAACCCAAUCCAGCCACUUAAACUGGCAGGCUAGAGUAUUGGAGAGGCAAGUGGAAUUCCAUGUGUAGCGGUAAAAUGCGUAGAUAUAUGGAGGAACACCAGUGGCGAAGGCGGCUUGCUAGCCAAAGACUGACGCUCAUGCACGAAAGCGUGGGGAGCAAAUAGGAUUAGAUACCCUAGUAGUCCACGCCGUAAACGAUGAAUACUAAGUAUUGGGGAAACUCAGUGCUGCAGCUAACGCAAUAAGUAUUCCGCCUGUGGAGUAUGCACGCAAGUGUGAAACAUAAAGGAAUUGACGGGGGCCCGCACAAGCGGUGGAGUAUGUGGUUUAAUUCGACGCAACGCGAAGAACCUUACCAGGUCUUGACAUUGAUGGACAGAACUAGAGAUAG